This 77-nucleotide transfer RNA is filed under the name Serratia phage X20. RNAcentral describes it as "tRNA-Asp". It matches the Rfam family "tRNA". From Rfam's summary of the family: Transfer RNA (tRNA) molecules are approximately 80 nucleotides in length. Their secondary structure includes four short double-helical elements and three loops (D, anti-codon, and T loops). Lineage: Duplodnaviria; Heunggongvirae; Uroviricota; Caudoviricetes; Pantevenvirales; Straboviridae. The record is from RNAcentral.
GGUCCUAUAGUUUCAAUUGGUUAAAAUACUCCCCUGUCACGGGAAUGUUACGAGUUCGAGUCUCGUUAGGACCGCCA